AGCGAACGCUGGCGGCAGGCCUAACACAUGCAAGUCGAACGGAGCCUUCGGGCUUAGUGGCGGACGGGUGAGUAACACGUGGGAACGUACCUUUAGGUUCGGAACAACUCAGGGAAACGUGAGCUAAUACCGGAUAAGCCCUUCGGGGGAAAGAUUUAUCGCCUUUAGAGCGGCCCGCGUUAGAUUAGCUAGUUGGUGAGGUAAAGGCUCACCAAGGCUACGAUCUAUAGCUGGUCUGAGAGGAUGAUCAGCCACACUGGGACUGAGACACGGCCCAGACUCCUACGGGAGGCAGCAGUGGGGAAUCUUGCGCAAUGGGCGAAAGCCUGACGCAGCCAUGCCGCGUGAAUGAUGAAGGUCUUAGGAUUGUAAAAUUCUUUUACCAGGGACGAUAAUGACGGUACCUGGAGAAAAAGCCCCGGCUAACUUCGUGCCAGCAGCCGCCGUAA
Molecule: ribosomal RNA, 449 nt
Filed under: uncultured bacterium
Lineage: Bacteria
Description: partial 16S ribosomal RNA
Rfam family: Bacterial small subunit ribosomal RNA
Source: RNAcentral